This 40-nucleotide ribosomal RNA is filed under the name Quambalaria cyanescens. RNAcentral's name for it is "partial 28S large subunit ribosomal RNA". Lineage: Eukaryota; Fungi; Basidiomycota; Exobasidiomycetes; Microstromatales; Quambalariaceae. The record is from RNAcentral.
CUCUGGCCUCAAAUCAGGUAGGACUACCCGCUGAACUUAA